AUUGAACGCUGGCGGCAUGCCUUACACAUGCGAGUUGAACGGCAGCGCGGGGCAACCUGGCGGCGAGUGGCGAACGGGUGAGUAAAAUAUCGGAACAUACCCUAGAGUGGGGAUAACGUAGCGGAAGUUACGCUAAUACCGCAUACGCACUAAGGUGGAAAGUGGGGAUCUUCGGACCUCAUGCUCAUGGAGUGGCCGAUAUCUGAUUAGCUAGUUGGUGAGGUAAAGGCUCACCAAGGCGACGAUCAGUAGCUGGUUUGAGAGAACGACCAGCCACACUGGAACUGAGACACGGUCCAGACUCCUACGGGAGGCAGCAGUGGGGAAUUUUGGACAAUGGGGGGCAACCCUGAUCCAGCAAUGCCGCGUGAGUGAAGAAGG
Molecule: ribosomal RNA, 381 nt
Filed under: uncultured bacterium
Lineage: Bacteria
Description: bacterial SSU rRNA
Rfam family: Bacterial small subunit ribosomal RNA
Source: RNAcentral